This is a non-coding RNA of Zonotrichia albicollis (white-throated sparrow), 420 nucleotides long. The record is from RefSeq and is a predicted model, not a curated record. Lineage: Eukaryota; Metazoa; Chordata; Aves; Passeriformes; Passerellidae.
GGCGGUACCACUGCAAGGCCCAGAACGCCCUGGGCACCGGGGUGUCACCUCCUGUCACCCUCCGCGUGUUCUCCGCAGAGAUCUCAGCCAGCCCUGCGGCCGAGGUGCUCGAGGGGACGGCCACCACCUUGUCAUGCAAUGUCCCCGGGCGGGAGGGACACCCCGAGGAGCUGACCUACACCUGGUUCAAGAACAGCGCGUGGCUCAAGGAGGGUCCGGCCCACACCCUCCUCUUCCCCACGGUGGCCGCUGGUGACGCCGGCUACUACUCCUGCCAAGUGACCAACAGCCAGGGCAGUGACACGGCCCAGGCCAUCAGCCUCAGCGUGACGUAUCCACCCCGAAUUCCCACCCUCACGCUCUUCCAGGAGACCCAGGGUGGCCGGCUGGUCAUCGUCCGCUGCACCGUGGACAGCCACC